This 2257-nucleotide ribosomal RNA is filed under the name Spirochaetota bacterium. RNAcentral describes it as "Spirochaetes bacterium (wastewater metagenome) 23S ribosomal RNA". It matches the Rfam family "Bacterial large subunit ribosomal RNA". The record is from RNAcentral. Lineage: Bacteria; Pseudomonadati; Spirochaetota.
GGUCAAGCAACUAAGGGCGUACGGUGGAUGCCUUGGCACUGGCAGGCGAUGAAGGACGUGGCAAGCUGCGAUAAGCCUCGGGAAGGAGCAAGCAUCCUGUGAUCCGGGGAUCUCCGAAUGGGAAAACCCAUACCGAUAAUCUCGGUAUAUUUGUAACUGAAUACAUAGGUUGCAAAGGCUAUACCCGGGGAAUUGAAACAUCUUAGUACCCGGAGGAAAAGAAAGCAAGCGCGAUUCCCUGAGUAGUGGCGAGCGAAAGGGGAACAGCCUAAACCGGUCUAUACGUUACAGGCCAGAACCGCUGUAAGAUCGGUGUAAUAGGAGCUGAAUGGAGAGUAUUCUGGUACUCUCGGGAAGUUAUAAAAUCUCAUCUUAACCAAAUCCGCUGGAAAGAGAGCCAAAGAGGGUGAUAGCCCCGUAGGUGAAAAGAUAGAGAUCUUCCUGGUUCGGCAACCUGAGUACCGCGGGACACGUGAAAUCCUGUGGGAAUUUGCGAGGACCACCUCGUAAGGCUAAAUACUAACCAGUGACCGAUAGCGAACAAGUACCGUGAGGGAAAGGCGAAAAGAACCCCGGGAGGGGAGUGAAAUAGAACCUGAAACCGUAUGCUUACAAGGUGUGGGAGCUUCGACUUGUCGAAGUGACCGCGUGCCUUUUGUAGAAUGAGCCGGCGAGUUACUUAGUAUAGCGAGGUUAAGUGAUAGUAAUCAUGAAGCCGUAGCGAAAGCGAGUCCGAAUAGGGCGAUUAGUUAUACUGAGUAGACCCGAAACCGAGUGAUCUAUCCAUGGCCAGGCUGAAAGUUCGGUAAAACGAACUGGAGGGCCGAACCGAUGUAGGUUGAAAACUGCUCGGAUGAGCUGUGGAUAGGAGUGAAAGGCUAAACAAACUCGGCAAUAGCUGGUUCUCCUCGAAAUAGCUUUAGGGCUAGCCUGGUGCGUUCAGUUAUGGAGGUAGGGCUCUGAUCGGGGUAGGGGGUCUACAAACCUACCGAACCCUUUCAAACCACAAAUGCCAUAACUUUAGAGCACUGGAGUCAGACUGCGGGGGAUAAGCUUCGUGGUCAAAAGGGAAACAGCCCAGACCAACAGCUAAGGUCCCGAAAUGCAUGCUAAGUGAUAAAGGAUGUGAAAUCGCUAAGACACCCAGGAGGUUGGCUUAGAAGCAGCCACUCCUUUAAAGAGUGCGUAAUAGCUCACUGGUCGAGUGAUUUUGCGCCAAAAAUACUUGGGACUAAGCAUGCUACCGAAGCUUUGGAUCUUAACGUAAGUUGAGGUGGUAGAGGAGCGUUCUAUACGGGCUGAAGGUUAAUCGCGAGGUUAACUGGACUGUAUGGAAGUGAGAAUGCCGGCAUGAGUAACGAAAAUCCCGGUGAAAAACUGGGACGCCGUAAGCCUAAGGUUUUCUGGGCAAUGCUAAUCAACUCAGAGUUAGUCGGCCCCUAAGGCGAGGCCGAAAGGCGUAGUCGAUGGGAAGCAGGUUCAUAUUCCUGCACCACCUGGUGGAGGAUAUCGUGAUGGGGUGACGUAGAAGGAUAAGGGCGCAGGGUGUUGGUUAUCCCUGUUCUUAAGUGUAGGCUGAAGAUCCAGGAAAAUCCGGAGCUUCUUAAAGCUGAGACUGUAGGGGAGCAAACCGCAAGGUGAGUGAAGGUCCCGACUCCAUGCUACCAAGAAAAACCUCUAAACGCAAAAUCAGGUGACCGUACCGCAAACCGACACAGGUAGGCGGGGAGAGAAUCCUAAGGCGCUCGUGAUAACCCUCGUUAAGGAACUCGGCAAAUUAGUCCCGUAACUUCGGAAGAAGGGACGCCUCGUUAGUGUGAAACCCCCGCGGGUGGAGCAUGAAGAGGCCGCAGAGAAACGGGCCAAGCGACUGUUUACCAAAAACACAGGGCUCUGCAAAAUCGUAAGAUGAUGUAUAGGGCCUGACACCUGCCCGGUGCCGGAAGGUUAAAAGGAGGGGUUAGUCCCACNNNNNNNNNNNNNNNNNNNNNNNNNNNNNNNNNNNNNNNNNNNNNNNNNNNNNNNNNNNNNNNNNNNNNNNNNNNNNNNNNNNNNNNNNNNNNNNNNNNNGGUAGCUAUAUUCGGAAAGGAUAACCGCUGAAAGCAUCUAAGCGGGAAGCCAACCCUAAGAUUAGAUUUCCCCUGACCCUUGAGGUCACUGAAGACUCCUCGAAGAUUACGAGGUUGAUAGGCUGGAAGUGUAAGCGCAGUAAUGCGUUCAGCUGACCAGUACUAAUCAGUCGUGAGGCUUGACCAU